RNAcentral lists this unclassified non-coding RNA (404 nucleotides) under soil metagenome. RNAcentral's name for it is "partial contains 5.8S ribosomal RNA, internal transcribed spacer 2, and large subunit ribosomal RNA". The stretch from base 1 to 121 matches the Rfam family "5.8S ribosomal RNA", at positions 35 to 154 of the family's 154-position model. The record is from RNAcentral.
GAUGAAGAACGCAGCGAAAUGCGAUAAGUAAUGUGAAUUGCAGAAUUCAGUGAAUCAUCGAAUCUUUGAACGCACCUUGCGCCCUUUGGCUAUUCCGAAGGGCAUGCCUGUUUGAGUAUCAUGAACACCUCAACUCUUUAUGGUUUUCCAUGAAGGGCUUGGACUUUGGGGGUCUUGCUGGCCUUUAGUCAGCUCCUCUCAAACGAAUCAGCUUUCCAGUGUUUGGCAGCGUCACAGGUGUGAUAACUAUCUACGCUUGUGGUUUUCUGCCAGGUAAUCCUCAGUGAUGGGGAUUCGCUGGGGCUUAUAAAUGUCUCUCCUCAGCGAAGACAGCUUUUUUGAACGUUUGAUCUCAAAUCAGGUAGGACUACCCGCUGAACUUAAGCAUAUCAAUAAGCGGAGGA